CCCUUAGAUGUUCUGGGCCGCACGCGUGCUACACUGAGUAAUUCAAUGGGUAAGGGAACGCUAGAGCUUUACCUAAUCUUGAAAUUUGCUCGUGAUGGGGAUCGACGGUUGCAAUUUUCCGUCGUGAACGAGGAAUACCUUGUAGGCGCAUGUCAUCAUCAUGCGCCGAAUACGUCCCUGCCCUUUGUACACACCGCCCGUCGCUCCUACCGAUUGAGUGAUCCGGUGAGGCUCUGGGACCUGGACGGAAAGAGCGUUUCGCUUGUUCUGUUUGGGAAACUUGGUCGAACCUUAUCAUUUAGAGGAAGGAGAAGUCGUAACA
RNAcentral lists this ribosomal RNA (322 nucleotides) under uncultured eukaryote. Its description in RNAcentral is "partial 18S ribosomal RNA". It matches the Rfam family "Eukaryotic small subunit ribosomal RNA", at positions 1470 to 1796 of the family's 1831-position model. The record is from RNAcentral.